AACGGUGGAUGUCUAGGUUCCUACAACGAUGAAGAACGCAGCGAAGUGCGAUAAGCAUUGCGAAUUGCAGAACCGUGAGUCAUCAGAUUUUUGAACGCAACUGGCGCC
This 108-nucleotide ribosomal RNA is filed under the name Holosticha diademata. RNAcentral describes it as "5.8S ribosomal RNA". It matches the Rfam family "5.8S ribosomal RNA", at positions 8 to 117 of the family's 154-position model. From Rfam's summary of the family: 5.8S ribosomal RNA (5.8S rRNA) is a component of the large subunit of the eukaryotic ribosome. Lineage: Eukaryota; Ciliophora; Spirotrichea; Urostylida; Holostichidae. The record is from RNAcentral.